Molecule: long non-coding RNA, 536 nt
Organism: Strigops habroptila (Kakapo)
Lineage: Eukaryota; Metazoa; Chordata; Aves; Psittaciformes; Psittacidae
Exons: 2
Source: RefSeq, a predicted model, not a curated record
GACAGCGAACAAGGAAGGUCACAGUGAAAGUCCUUGGUGGCUCCGAGCCUGUGGACGGGGUGCCGGGGGGGCUUCGGGAUGGACGGAGCUGCAGCACCCAUGGGUGCUGCACCGGAGACCCGCACAGCACAUGGUCCUGGGGGUACGGACUCAGGGAGGUCACGUUGUACCAGUCAGGAGGAGCUGUUGCGGUGGAGCAGAGUCAGCAUCCCCAUGGAGCCCUUCAAAUCCCCUGGGACAGCUUCACUGGGCUUCUUGGCUUUGGGAGAGGAAACCUGGGAGCAGCAGCAGCUUUGGAUCAGAUUUGGGGUCUUUGGGAAAGCAGCGUUUGGGCUUAAAUCCAUGGAAAGAACUUGCCGUUCACUGCAGGGCAGCCCAUGGCCUCGCUUCCCAUCUUUUCCUUUGGGUGCUGAGCAGCAGGAGGAGGAUGCAGGAGAUCCAUGAGGAUGCUCCGAGCUGGGAAAACACACCGGAACACCCCAAAAUUCCCGGGUUUUGGGGGCUCCUUCAACAAUAAAACUGGAUCUGCCUUUGGA